This 249-nucleotide unclassified non-coding RNA is filed under the name Hevea brasiliensis (rubber tree). Lineage: Eukaryota; Viridiplantae; Streptophyta; Magnoliopsida; Malpighiales; Euphorbiaceae. The record is from RNAcentral.
GUAAUUUCUACCCCUUUUAAUGAGAUAUCAAAACAACAGAAGACAAACUUUAAUUCUUUUCUUUUCUCCAUUUUUUCCUUCAUCUAAUUUCUUUCCAUUCCUUAACAACUUCAGAUACCCAAACAAAGGGUUAGAAAUUCCAAACCAAGUUAACAUUUUUGAACAAGAUAUACAAUCAUAAAUAUGACACAAAAUUCUUAAUCCCCUUGUUUGGAAGCUAGAAUUUUAUUAGAAUUCUAUUCAAUUAAU